RNAcentral lists this ribosomal RNA (599 nucleotides) under uncultured bacterium. RNAcentral describes it as "bacterial SSU rRNA". It matches the Rfam family "Bacterial small subunit ribosomal RNA", at positions 915 to 1509 of the family's 1533-position model. The record is from RNAcentral.
GGGGGCCCGCACAAGCGGCGGAGCAUGCGGAUUANUUCGAUGCAACGCGAAGAACCUUACCAAGGCUUGACAUGGACCGGACCGGGCUGGAAACAGUCCUUCCCCUUUGGGGCCGGUUCACAGGUGGUGCAUGGUUGUCGUCAGCUCGUGUCGUGAGAUGUUGGGUUAAGUCCCGCAACGAGCGCAACCCUCGUUCUAUGUUGCCAGCGCGUUACGGCGGGGACUCAUAGGAGACUGCCGGGGUCAACUCGGAGGAAGGUGGGGACGACGUCAAAUCAUCAUGCCCCUUAUGUCUUGGGCUUCACGCAUGCUACAAUGGCCGGUACAAAGGGUUGCGAUACUGUGAGGUGGAGCUAAUCCCAAAAAGCCGGUCUCAGUUCGGAUUGGGGUCUGCAACUCGACCCCAUGAAGUCGGAGUCGCUAGUAAUCGCAGAUCAGCAACGCUGCGGUGAAUACGUUCCCGGGCCUUGUACACACCGCCCGUCAAGUCACGAAAGUUGGUAACACCCGAAGCCGGUGGCCUAACCCCUUGUGGGAGGGAGCUGUCGAAGGUGGGACUGGCGAUUGGGACUAAGUCGUAACAAGGUAACCGUAAGGGC